Molecule: non-coding RNA, 95 nt
Filed under: Thalassiothrix antarctica
Lineage: Eukaryota; Bacillariophyta; Fragilariophyceae; Thalassionematales; Thalassionemataceae
Source: RNAcentral
AAAUUCACCGUGGAAAUGGCACCGUUGGGGAUGAUGCCUCAUGCGUAUCAUUUAUUCUUAAAACAAGUCUAUCACGAAUUAUGGGACAAUACGUU